CCUACGGGAGGCUGCAGUGGGGAAUAUUGGACAAUGGGCGAAAGCCUGAUCCAGCCAUGCCGCGUGUGUGAAGAAGGCCUUCGGGUUGUAAAGCACUUUCAGUGGGGAAGAAAGCCUUGGGGCUAAUACCCUCGAGGAAGGACAUCACCCACAGAAGAAGCACCGGCUAACUCCGUGCCAGCAGCCGCGGUAAUACGGAGGGUGCGAGCGUUAAUCGGAAUUACUGGGCGUAAAGCGCGCGUAGGCGGUCUGAUAAGCCGAUGUGAAAGCCCCGGGCUCAACCUGGGAACGGCAUCCGGAAACUUCCGGCGAGGGUGCAGGAGAGGAAAGUAGAAUUCCCGGGGUAGAGGUGAAAUGCGGAGAGAUCGGGAGGAAUACCAGUGGCGAAGGCGGCCUUCUGGACUGACACUGACGCUGAGGUGCGAAAGCGUGGGUAGCAAACAGGAUUAGAUACCCGAGUAGUC
Molecule: ribosomal RNA, 464 nt
Filed under: Vreelandella stevensii
Lineage: Bacteria; Pseudomonadati; Pseudomonadota; Gammaproteobacteria; Oceanospirillales; Halomonadaceae
Description: partial 16S ribosomal RNA
Rfam family: Bacterial small subunit ribosomal RNA
Source: RNAcentral